Molecule: transfer RNA, 87 nt
Filed under: Llavea cordifolia
Lineage: Eukaryota; Viridiplantae; Streptophyta; Polypodiopsida; Polypodiales; Pteridaceae
Description: tRNA-Ser
Rfam family: tRNA
About the family: Transfer RNA (tRNA) molecules are approximately 80 nucleotides in length. Their secondary structure includes four short double-helical elements and three loops (D, anti-codon, and T loops).
Source: RNAcentral
GGAGAGGUGGCCGAGCGGUUUAAGGCGUAGCACCGGAACUGCUACGUAGAUUUCUAGCUACCGAGGGUUCGAAUCCCUCCCUUUCCU